This 454-nucleotide long non-coding RNA is filed under the name Gallus gallus (chicken). RNAcentral's name for it is "lncRNA (ENSGALG00010022091.1)". The record is from RNAcentral. Lineage: Eukaryota; Metazoa; Chordata; Aves; Galliformes; Phasianidae.
GGACAUUUCUGAGCUCCUUCUCUGGCAGUACUUAGGUCUCUGGAAGAAAAAAAGGUGCUUUGGAGACCAGGAUGCCAGCAGCAGAGGGUGCUGCUCCCCUACACUGCGAGCAACUGCAGCAAGCAGGGCUGAGCGCUGUGCUGGCUCUUUCCAGUCUGCUUUCAGGGCUUCCUUUCUUUUUCCCACCAAAAUGGCCAGGAACUAAUUUUUCUGCUUCCCUGCUCCCACUGGCUUCUUGUGCACAGGCUGCGAUGUGUGCUCAGCCUCCCACAUUCAGCCUUGUGCUGCACAGUGCAAGAGGCAAAGGGAGCGUUACGCCACAUCCUUCUUACUGCCAAGUGUUGUGCCAGCUCAUAGAGGCAGAGCCUGCACGUAGCACGUACAUGCUUCCGGGCGGUGUUUAGUCUCUCUGUCUCUCCAGAAAGCUGCAUGUUUGCUGCCUGUCUGUCUUCAU